CCAGAGAAAUGCCAUAUGAAACAGGAUGACAAAUUACAAACCCAAACACAACAAAGUUCAUUAAACCAUCACAGAUUUUGACUUAAAUACACUGGAGCCAACCAAUAAACUCCCGCCAAUCACAAGAUAUGGAGUUCUUUGUAUUGCAGAGAUGUCCUACGCUGCUUUGCUUUUCCACAUACACAACAAUAAAAAAGGACACCUAAUA
RNAcentral lists this unclassified non-coding RNA (208 nucleotides) under Hevea brasiliensis (rubber tree). The record is from RNAcentral. Lineage: Eukaryota; Viridiplantae; Streptophyta; Magnoliopsida; Malpighiales; Euphorbiaceae.